RNAcentral lists this ribosomal RNA (65 nucleotides) under Nakaseomyces nivariensis. Its description in RNAcentral is "[Candida] nivariensis partial 28S ribosomal RNA". It matches the Rfam family "Eukaryotic large subunit ribosomal RNA", at positions 1 to 62 of the family's 3401-position model. The record is from RNAcentral. Lineage: Eukaryota; Fungi; Ascomycota; Saccharomycetes; Saccharomycetales; Saccharomycetaceae.
GUUUGACCUCAAAUCAGGUAGGAUUACCCGCUGAACUAAAGCAUAUCAAUAAGCGGAGGAAAAGA